GUCCACGCCCUAAACUAUGAUCACUCGAUGUGUGCGAUACACUGUACGCGUCUGAGCGAAAGCAUUAAGUGAUCCACCUGGGAAGUACGACCGCAAGGUUGAAACUCAAAGGAAUUGACGGGGGCCCCGCACAAGCGGAGGAGCAUGUGGUUUAAUUCGAUGAUACGCGAGGAACCUUACCUGGGCUUGAAAGUUAGUGAAUGCCGUAGAAACAUGGCAGCAAGCAAUUGCACGAAACUAGGUGCUGCAUGGCUGUCGU
This 259-nucleotide ribosomal RNA is filed under the name uncultured bacterium. RNAcentral's name for it is "partial 16S ribosomal RNA". It matches the Rfam family "Bacterial small subunit ribosomal RNA", at positions 793 to 1055 of the family's 1533-position model. The record is from RNAcentral.